CUACCUACCUUCCCGUUGGUCGUCGUCCGUUCCGUCCCCUACCCGAACCGUACCGGUCCCGGGCCCGGUCCGGUACCGGGACCGACGGAAGGGAACGGUUAACCGUUUCCGGUUGGUUACGGUCGGGUACGGUUAAGUAAAGUCGGUACGGUAAGGAGUACGUACGGAAAAGGGAAAACGAAACGUACGGGUUCCGGGGUACGGGAACGGGAACGGGCCGUCCUUCGUCGUCGGUACCGAACCUUAACUUAACGUACGAACCUACGUACGGGAAACGGGAAACGAAACGGUACGGGGUAAGGGGACGAACGGUAAGGGUUAGGGUUAAGUUAACGUAACCCUAACCCGGUAGGUUACCGUACCGUAACCGGUAAACCCGUAAAGUAGGUAGUAACGUUAACGGUUGGUUUGUUCGUUCGUUAGUUACCGACCCGGAACCCGAGUCGGUCGUACGUACGUACCGUAACGGUUAAGUUAACGUCCCUCCCGGCGGGUAGGGUACGACGCACGAGUAGUAGAACUAACAAGAAGUAGUCGGCGGGCCCGCACAAGCGGUGGAGUAUGUGGUUUAAUUCGAUGCAACGCGAAGAACC
Molecule: ribosomal RNA, 593 nt
Filed under: uncultured bacterium
Lineage: Bacteria
Description: partial 16S ribosomal RNA
Source: RNAcentral